GUCGAGCGGUAGAGAGAAGCUUGCUUCUCUUGAGAGCGGCGGACGGGUGAGUAAUGCCUAGGAAUCUGCCUGGUAGUGGGGGAUAACGUUCGGAAACGAACGCUAAUACCGCAUACGUCCUACGGGAGAAAGCAGGGGACCUUCGGGCCUUGCGCUAUCAGAUGAGCCUAGGUCGGAUUAGCUAGUUGGUGAGGUAAUGGCUCACCAAGGCGACGAUCCGUAACUGGUCUGAGAGGAUGAUCAGUCACACUGGAACUGAGACACGGUCCAGACUCCUACGGGAGGCAGCAGUGGGGAAUAUUGGACAAUGGGCGAAAGCCUGAUCCAGCCAUGCCGCGUGUGUGAAGAAGGUCUUCGGAUUGUAAAGCACUUUAAGUUGGGAGGAAGGGCAGUUACCUAAUACGUGAUUGUUUUGACGUUACCGACAGAAUAAGCACCGGCUAACUCUGUGCCAGCAGCCGCGGUAAUACAGAGGGUGCAAGCGUUAAUCGGAAUUACUGGGCGUAAAGCGCGCGU
Molecule: ribosomal RNA, 516 nt
Filed under: Pseudomonas sp.
Lineage: Bacteria; Pseudomonadati; Pseudomonadota; Gammaproteobacteria; Pseudomonadales; Pseudomonadaceae
Description: bacterial SSU rRNA
Rfam family: Bacterial small subunit ribosomal RNA
Source: RNAcentral